AUCGAACGCUGGCGGCAGGCCUAACACAUGCAAGUCGAGCGGAUGACGGGAGCUUGCUCCUUGAUUCAGCGGCGGACGGGUGAGUAAUGCCUAGGAAUCUGCCUGGUAGUGGGGGACAACGUUCCGAAAGGGGCGCUAAUACCGCAUACGUCCUACGGGAGAAAGUGGGGGAUCUUCGGACCUCACGCUAUCAGAUGAGCCUAGGUCGGAUUAGCUAGUUGGUGAGGUAAAGGCUCACCAAGGCGACGAUCCGUAACUGGUCUGAGAGGAUGAUCAGUCACACUGGAACUGAGACACGGUCCAGACUCCUACGGGAGGCAGCAGUGGGGAAUAUUGGACAAUGGGCGAAAGCCUGAUCCAGCCAUGCCGCGUGUGUGAAGAAGGUCUUCGGAUUGUAAAGCACUUUAAGUUGGGAGGAAGGGCAGUAAGUUAAUACCUUGCUGUUUUGACGUUACCGACAGAAUAAGCACCGGCUAACUCUGUG
This 484-nucleotide ribosomal RNA is filed under the name uncultured bacterium. RNAcentral describes it as "partial 16S ribosomal RNA". It matches the Rfam family "Bacterial small subunit ribosomal RNA", at positions 30 to 507 of the family's 1533-position model. The record is from RNAcentral.